GAGUGAAAUCAGGUUCAGUCGUUAAGAUGAUAUCAUAUCGGGUCAGGGGCAGGCAGGGGUUCCCUUUCGUCUUGACUUACGACAAUGAACAGACCUACAAGAAAUAGGAGAAUUGUCCUUUAUGAC
Long non-coding RNA from Cucurbita moschata (crookneck pumpkin), 126 nucleotides. RefSeq lists it as uncharacterized. Lineage: Eukaryota; Viridiplantae; Streptophyta; Magnoliopsida; Cucurbitales; Cucurbitaceae. The record is from RefSeq and is a predicted model, not a curated record. The transcript has 3 exons.